This 405-nucleotide ribosomal RNA is filed under the name uncultured bacterium. RNAcentral's name for it is "bacterial SSU rRNA". It matches the Rfam family "Bacterial small subunit ribosomal RNA", at positions 976 to 1380 of the family's 1533-position model. The record is from RNAcentral.
AGGUCUUGACAUCCUCUGACACUCCUAGAGAUAGGACGUUCCCCUUCGGGGGACAGAGUGACAGGUGGUGCAUGGUUGUCGUCAGCUCGUGUCGUGAGAUGUUGGGUUAAGUCCCGCAACGAGCGCAACCCUUGUUCUUAGUUGCCAGCAUUUAGUUGGGCACUAUAAGGAGACUGCCGGUGACAAACCGGAGGAAGGUGGGGAUGACGUCAAAUCAUCAUGCCCCUUAUGACCUGGGCUACACACGUGCUACAAUGGGUGGUACAAAGGGCAGCAAAACCGCGAGGUCGAGCCAAUCCCAUAAAACCAUUCUCAGUUCGGAUUGUAGGCUGCAACUCGCCUACAUGAAGCUGGAAUCGCUAGUAAUCGCGGAUCAGCAUGCCGCGGUGAAUACGUUCCCGGGUC